UGGUCGGCUGAGACGGCCUUUAGCUCACCUGCUAAUUCAGCGCCUCCAAGCGGAUCGAUUUCAUCUGCGUGUAUUUUUAAUUCGAAGCCUGCCUCAGCUGCUUUUUGUAAAUAACGGCGGGAUUGGCUGACUGUAAAAACGCCUGUUUCUGUAAAAAUAUCAGCAAAGCUGGCGAGCUCCUGCUCUUUGAUUUCCGGCAAAAGGGAAAGCAUUUGAUCCAGAAAUUCAUCUGGAUCGUUUUGAUAUUCGGGAGGAAUCGCAUGGGCUCCCAUAAAUGUGGAAACAAGGUCAACAGGCUGGCUUUCAUGCAGUUUCUUUGCGACACGCAACUGUUUGAGCUCUGUCUCUUUUUCCAAGCCGUAGCCGCUUUUCACUUCUGCUGUGGUUGUGCCGUAGGACAGCAUUCUUUGCAGAUGAAAAUGGGCUUUUUGCAGCAGCUCUUCUUCUGAAGCCGCCCUGGUAUCCUUGACUGUAGACAGAAUCCCGCCGCCCUGCGCCAGAAUAUCCAAAUAUGAAAUGCCCUGAAGCUUAAGGUUCAUCUCCUUUUCACGAGAUCCGCCAAAUACAAGAUGGGUGUGCGGAUCAACGAGGCCAGGCGUUACAAGGCGUCCCGAACAGUCAAUGAUUUCGUCUGCCUCGUAACCGGCUUCAGCCCCUUUUUGUCCGGCGAACACAAUUUUCUGUUCAUGGAUGCCGACAACAGCGUCUUCGAUCACAUGAAGAUCCUGCAUGCUUUUGCCUGCCCGCGGACCGUUGCUUUCCAUUGUCAAAAGCUGACCGAUGUUGAUGAGAAUCGUAUCAAUUUGCUUUGGCAUGUCAUCACUCCUUUAUUUUUGCAUCGGCACGAUAAUGUCCUGUUCCUUCGCUACUUCAACGGCACGUUCAUAACCCGCAUCCGCAUGACGGAUAAUGCCCAUUCCUGGGUCGCUCGUUAAGACCCGCGCGAGCCGCUCGUCAGCCAGCUCACUUCCAUCGGCCACUGCAACCAUGCCGGCAUGCAGGGAAUAGCCCAUUCCGACGCCGCCGCCAUGGUGGAAGGAAACCCAGCUUGCACCCGCCGCCGUGUUGACAAGCGCAUUUAGCACAGCCCAGUCACCAACAGCGUCACUUCCGUCCUUCAUCGCUUCUGUCUCCCGGUUUGGAGAGGCGACAGACCCGCAGUCCAAAUGAUCUCUCCCAAUAACGACAGGCGCUUUUAGCUCCCCGCUUCUAACCAGCUCGUUAAUGGCGAGGCCCAUCUUUUUUCGUUCUCCAUAUCCAAGCCAGCAAAUACGGGACGGCAAGCCUUGGAAGGUGACUUUUUCCUGUGCCAUAUCAAUCCAGCGGUGAAGGGCUUUAUUUGUCGGGAACAGCUCUUUUAAUAACGCAUCCGUACGGUAAAUAUCUGCCGGAUCUCCGGAAAGCGCCGCCCAACGGAACGGCCCUUUUCCUUCACAGAAUAAGGGGCGGAUGUAGGCAGGGACAAAACCCGGAAAAUCGAAGGCAUUCUCCAGCCCUUCAUCCUUUGCGACUUGCCGGAUAUUGUUGCCGUAGUCAAAUACAAUAGAGCCCUUU
Molecule: ribosomal RNA, 1554 nt
Filed under: Bacillus subtilis subsp. subtilis str. BSP1
Lineage: Bacteria; Bacillati; Bacillota; Bacilli; Caryophanales; Bacillaceae
Description: 16S ribosomal RNA
Source: RNAcentral